This 541-nucleotide long non-coding RNA is filed under the name Cercocebus atys (sooty mangabey). RNAcentral describes it as "lncRNA (ENSCATG00000045780.1)". The record is from RNAcentral. Lineage: Eukaryota; Metazoa; Chordata; Mammalia; Primates; Cercopithecidae.
AAAAAUGUUUAAUUAAUCACCGAGAUUUAAACUGACUUUUAGAGACACCUUCUUAGCAGGUACCCAGUUCCCCAAAGUUUCUCACAUCCAUGGCACUCACUAUAACCUUAGCAAAGGUUAUCAGGAUCUUCUGUUGACUGUGCUGUUCUCUCUGUACUUUUGGCCUCUUGCAAACACUGUCCCUCCCAACAGUCCAUGCUGACAGUUUCAAGCUGGUGUGAUCGCGUCUGUCUAGUCAGAUGCUAACUUUCUGCUUCCCAGAGGUAUGUCUCUCAAAGUUGAUCAGCUGACCUGAGGAACCAUUUGGAAAGAUUCCUUCCUUCAAUAUCUCUGGCCGAGUUAUGCAUACCUCCUCAUCUAAGACAAAUAGAAAACAAGGGUAACCAUGGUGAGAAAGAUGUUGACGACUUGGAUGGCGAACAGUGCAAAUGACGGAGGGAGUAACAAAGCUGUCCCUAAAGAGAUCACAUUUAAGCAGAAACCUGAAAGAAAUGAUUGAGCAUGUCAGGUAAGGAUCAGGGGAAAGAAGAUUCCAGGCAAA